UACGUAGGGUGCGAGCGUUAAUCGGAAUUACUGGGCGUAAAGCGUGCGUAGACGGUUAUUUAAGUCGGGUGUGAAAGCCCCGGGCUCAACCUGGGAAUUGCAUUCGAGACUGAAUAGCUAGGGUACGGUAGAGGGAAGUGGAAUUUCCGGUGUAGCGGUGAAAUGCGUAGAUAUCGGAAGGAACACCGGUGGCGAAGGCGGCCCCCUGGUUGGAUACUGACGCUGAGACGCGAAAGCGUGGGGAGCAAACAGG
RNAcentral lists this ribosomal RNA (253 nucleotides) under uncultured bacterium. RNAcentral's name for it is "partial 16S ribosomal RNA". It matches the Rfam family "Bacterial small subunit ribosomal RNA", at positions 524 to 776 of the family's 1533-position model. The record is from RNAcentral.